AUUGAAGCUUGUAUGAAGGGUUGGACGAGAUAAAAUCUGUCUUUAUUUAAAUUACAAUAAAAUUUAACUUUUAAGUCAAAAGGCUUAAAUGUGUAUAAAAGACGAGAAGACCCUAUAGAUCUUUAUUUAGUUAAUAUUUUAAUAAUUUAGGAUUAUUUUAAUCUAAAGUUUUAAUUAAAUUUUAUUGGGGUAAUAUAAAGAUUAAAUAAAUUCUUUUUAUUUAUUACAUUAAUUUAUGAAUUUGUGAUCCAAUAUUAUUGAUUAUAAGAUUAAGUUACCUUAGGGAUAACAGCGUAAUUUUUUUGGAGAGCUCAUAUCGAUAAAAAAGUUUGCGACCUC
This 339-nucleotide ribosomal RNA is filed under the name Cicindela campestris. RNAcentral describes it as "partial 16S ribosomal RNA". Lineage: Eukaryota; Metazoa; Arthropoda; Insecta; Coleoptera; Carabidae. The record is from RNAcentral.